UACGUAGGGUGCAAGCGUUAUCCGGAUUCACUGGGUUUAAAGGGUGCGUAGGAGGGCAGGUAAGUCAGUGGUGAAAUCUCCAAGCUUAACUUGGAAACUGCCGUUGAUACUAUCUGUCUUGAAUAUUGUGGAGGUGAGCGGAAUAUGUCAUGUAGCGGUGAAAUGCUUAGAUAUGACAUAGAACACCAAUUGCGAAGGCAGCUCACUACUCAAUCAUUGACUCUGAGGCACGAAAGCGUGGGGAUCAAACAGG
This 253-nucleotide ribosomal RNA is filed under the name uncultured bacterium. RNAcentral describes it as "partial 16S ribosomal RNA". It matches the Rfam family "Bacterial small subunit ribosomal RNA", at positions 524 to 776 of the family's 1533-position model. The record is from RNAcentral.